This 497-nucleotide ribosomal RNA is filed under the name uncultured bacterium. RNAcentral describes it as "partial 16S ribosomal RNA". It matches the Rfam family "Bacterial small subunit ribosomal RNA", at positions 28 to 507 of the family's 1533-position model. The record is from RNAcentral.
GAUGAACGCUGGCGGCGUGCCUAAUACAUGCAAGUCGAGCGAACAGACGAGGAGCUUGCUCCUCUGACGUUAGCGGCGGACGGGUGAGUAACACGUGGAUAACCUACCUAUAAGACUGGGAUAACUUCGGGAAACCGGAGCUAAUACCGGAUAAUAUAUUGAACCGCAUGGUUCAAUAGUGAAAGACGGUUUUGCUGUCACUUAUAGAUGGAUCCGCGCCGCAUUAGCUAGUUGGUAAGGUAACGGCUUACCAAGGCGACGAUGCGUAGCCGACCUGAGAGGGUGAUCAGCCACACUGGAACUGAGACACGGUCCAGACUCCUACGGGGGGCAGCAGUAGGGAAACUUCCGCAAUGGGCGAAAGCCUGACGGAGCAACGCCGCGUGAGUGAUGAAGGUCUUCGGAUCGUAAAACUCUGUUAUUAGGGAAGAACAAAUGUGUAAGUAACUAUGCACGUCUUGACGGUACCUAAUCAGAAAGCCACGGCUAACUACGUG